GUUCCCAAUGAAAGGUGAAGCCUUUUACCCUUCACUGCUAUCUGAAGCCUACCAGUCCCCCUGAGACCAAGAGGCAGCCUUUGGCCGCAUCAGCCCUGAAACAAGCUCAGGGAGCCCCAAGAACAAGAAGAGGAAAGUGUGUUGGGCUGGAGCUAGAGCAUGGAAUAAAAAAGGCUGGCCUAUGAAAUCUGGAAGAAGUCAGAGCAAGAAGCAGGCCCUUGAGGAAAUUCCUUAUUGC
Molecule: long non-coding RNA, 238 nt
Organism: Dromiciops gliroides (monito del monte)
Lineage: Eukaryota; Metazoa; Chordata; Mammalia; Microbiotheria; Microbiotheriidae
Exons: 3
Source: RefSeq, a predicted model, not a curated record